GAUGAACGCUGGCGGCGUGCCUAAUACAUGCAAGUCGAGCGAACAGACGAGGAGCUUGCUCCUCUGACGUUAGCGGCGGACGGGUGAGUAAAACGUGGAUAACCUACCUAUAAGACUGGGAUAACUUCGGGAAACCGGAGCUAAUACCGGAUAACAUGUUGAACCGCAUGGUUCAACAGUGAAAGACGGUCUUGCUGUCACUUAUAGAUGGAUCCGCGCCGCAUUAGCUAGUUGGUAAGGUAACGGCUUACCAAGGCAACGAUGCGUAGCCGACCUGAGAGGGUGAUCGGCCACACUGGAACUGAGACACGGUCCAGACUCCUACGGGAGGCAGCAGUAGGGAAUCUUCCGCAAUGGGCGAAAGCCUGACGGAGCAACGCCGCGUGAGUGACGAAGGUCUUCGGAUCGUAAAACUCUGUUAUUAGGGAAGAACAAAUGUGUAAGUAACUAUGCACGUCUUGACGGUACCUAAUCAGAAAGCCACGGCUAACUACGUG
RNAcentral lists this ribosomal RNA (497 nucleotides) under uncultured bacterium. RNAcentral describes it as "partial 16S ribosomal RNA". It matches the Rfam family "Bacterial small subunit ribosomal RNA", at positions 28 to 507 of the family's 1533-position model. The record is from RNAcentral.